UAACUAAGUGUUCUUUAUUCAAACUGUAACUCAAGUGGAGGGCAGCUCAAAUGCAUUUUUAGACCCCACAAUUAAGUGGUGAUAAUAGAAGUGGAGGCUGGACAGUGGCCAUGGUGGAAGUGAGCAGACAUCUAUUUGUCAAAUGACAAGGUAAG
Molecule: long non-coding RNA, 155 nt
Organism: Leopardus geoffroyi (Geoffroy's cat)
Lineage: Eukaryota; Metazoa; Chordata; Mammalia; Carnivora; Felidae
Exons: 2
Source: RefSeq, a predicted model, not a curated record